GAUCAUGGCUCAGGACGAACGCUGGCGGCGUGCCUAACACAUGCAAGUCGAACGAAGCACUUCCGAUUUGAGAUUCGUCAAGAAUUGGAUUGACUUAGUGGCGGACGGGUGAGUAAUGCGUGAGCAACCUGCCCUUCAGAGGGGGACAACAGUUGGAAACGACUGCUAAUACCGCAUAACGUAUCCGGGAGGCAUCUUCUGGAUACCAAAGAUUUAUCGCUGAGGGAUGGGCUCACGUCUGAUUAGCUAGUUGGCAGGGUAACGGCCUACCAAGGCGACGAUCAGUAGCCGGACUGAGAGGUUGAACGGCCACAUUGGGACUGAGAUACGGCCCAGACUCCUACGGGAGGCAGCAGUGGGGAAUAUUGGGCAAUGGGCGAAAGCCCUGACCCAGCAACGCCGCGUGAAGGAAGAAGGCCUUCGGGUUGUAAACUUCUUUUAUGAGGGACGAAGGAUGUGACGGUACCUCAUGAAUAAGCCACGGCUAACUACGUGCCAGCAGCCGC
RNAcentral lists this ribosomal RNA (506 nucleotides) under uncultured bacterium. RNAcentral's name for it is "bacterial SSU rRNA". It matches the Rfam family "Bacterial small subunit ribosomal RNA", at positions 15 to 518 of the family's 1533-position model. The record is from RNAcentral.